UUAAAUUGAAGAGUUUGAUCAUGGCUCAGAUUGAACGCUGGCGGCAGGCCUAACACAUGCAAGUCGAGCGGCAGCGGGAAAGUAGCUUGCUACUUUUGCCGGCGAGCG
RNAcentral lists this ribosomal RNA (108 nucleotides) under Aeromonas caviae. RNAcentral describes it as "partial 16S ribosomal RNA". It matches the Rfam family "Bacterial small subunit ribosomal RNA", at positions 1 to 104 of the family's 1533-position model. RNAcentral also lists the same sequence under 1 other name. Lineage: Bacteria; Pseudomonadati; Pseudomonadota; Gammaproteobacteria; Aeromonadales; Aeromonadaceae. The record is from RNAcentral.